UCAGCUUCAGUGGUUUAAAAACCCAACUGCAGAGGGAGCUCACGCAUCUUGUAAAAUUUGUGUAUUUGUGUGUUGAAGGUGGUUGCUUGUGUUGAGAAAGGUAGCUGGUGGUGCUGUUUAGUUUGUGUUCUUCCAUUUUCCAAAAGCUUGUAAGUUAUAUAUUCAAUAUAUUUUAUAUGUUUUAUUUAGGUAGAUGUUUAUAUGCCAGAUUAUAUUUUGAUAAAUAAAUAGUUUUAGGUAGUAUAAGAUAAGAGAAUAAUUUUGUAUAAUUUAGUUUGAAUUGUUAAUGUUAUAUGGUAGAUUAGAUUUAGGUUUAUAUGAC
Molecule: long non-coding RNA, 322 nt
Filed under: Glycine max (soybean)
Lineage: Eukaryota; Viridiplantae; Streptophyta; Magnoliopsida; Fabales; Fabaceae
Description: long non-coding RNA (GMAX_LNC003300)
Source: RNAcentral